Alosa sapidissima (American shad) is the source of this 265-nucleotide long non-coding RNA. RefSeq lists it as uncharacterized. The transcript has 3 exons. The record is from RefSeq and is a predicted model, not a curated record. NCBI's taxonomy places the organism in Eukaryota, Metazoa, Chordata, Actinopteri, Clupeiformes, Clupeidae.
AGGUAUUGUAGAUGGACCUACGCCAGUGGUUCUUAAACUUUUUGUCUGGCGACCCCACAAAAAAGUAUGGCGAGGUCUGGCGACCCCACUUUCCCCAAACCCAUUCUAAGUCCUUACUCAAAUACCCCCCUCAAACGUUAACAACUAAAUCAAGCAAAAACUAAAAAGCAAAGUCAUUUGUUUUAUUUACUCCAUAUGAACAAGAACCGAGAAAACCAAACAAUCACGAUUAAACAAGUGUAGGCUGCCGCCAUAUCAGAUCAGA